RNAcentral lists this ribosomal RNA (501 nucleotides) under Streptomyces niveus. Its description in RNAcentral is "bacterial SSU rRNA". It matches the Rfam family "Bacterial small subunit ribosomal RNA", at positions 123 to 638 of the family's 1533-position model. Lineage: Bacteria; Bacillati; Actinomycetota; Actinomycetes; Kitasatosporales; Streptomycetaceae. RNAcentral also lists the same sequence under 1 other name. The record is from RNAcentral.
AAUCUGCCCUGCACUCUGGGACAAGCCCUGGAAACGGGGUCUAAUACCGGAUAACACUGUCCCCCUCCUGGGGGACGGUUGAAAGCUCCGGCGGUGCAGGAUGAGCCCGCGGCCUAUCAGCUUGUUGGUGGGGUAAUGGCCUACCAAGGCGACGACGGGUAGCCGGCCUGAGAGGGCGACCGGCCACACUGGGACUGAGACACGGCCCAGACUCCUACGGGAGGCAGCAGUGGGGAAUAUUGCACAAUGGGCGAAAGCCUGAUGCAGCGACGCCGCGUGAGGGAUGACGGCCUUCGGGUUGUAAACCUCUUUCAGCAGGGAAGAAGCGAAAGUGACGGUACCUGCAGAAGAAGCGCCGGCUAACUACGUGCCAGCAGCCGCGGUAAUACGUAGGGCGCAAGCGUUGUCCGGAAUUAUUGGGCGUAAAGAGCUCGUAGGCGGUCUGUCACGUCGGGUGUGAAAGCCCGGGGCUUAACCCCGGGUCUGCAUUCGAUACGGGCA